RNAcentral lists this ribosomal RNA (492 nucleotides) under uncultured bacterium. Its description in RNAcentral is "partial 16S ribosomal RNA". It matches the Rfam family "Bacterial small subunit ribosomal RNA", at positions 28 to 507 of the family's 1533-position model. The record is from RNAcentral.
GGUGAACGCUGGCGGCAUGCCUAAUACAUGCAAGUCGAGCGGCAGCAUAGUGAGCUUUUGCCCUUACGGUUAGCGGCUGACGGGUGGGUGACGCGUGGAUCGGCUUCCUCUUAUUCGUGGGGGACAUCGGAGGACAAGUGCUGAUACCACCUCAUACGUUUAACGGGAGAAUUCAGGGGUGAAAGGGACCUUUGCCGCAUGCAAGAGCCGAUGCCGGAUUAGCUAGUUGGGAGGGUAAGGGCCCACCAAGGCGACGAUCCGUAGCUGACCUGAGAGGAGGAUCGGCCACACUGGAACUGAGACACGGUCCAGACUCCUACGGGAGGCAGCAGUGGGGAAUAUUGGACAAUGGGCGAAAGCCUGACGCAGCAAUACCGCGUGGGUGAGGAAGGUCUUCGGGUCGUAAAACCCUUUUGUUGGGAAAGAAGAGCAGCAGAGUAAACCCCGCAUGUUCUGACGGUACCCAAAGAGAAAGCAACGGCUAACUACGUG